CAAGGAUUAGCGAGAAAUACCUCGACACAGCGGACGAGCCCUCCUUGACAGACGCAUUUAUUUUUCCCAUCUCGCUCAACAUGAACGACGACUUCUACUGCGGUCUGCACCCGGUCUCCUGGUUCAUCCUCUUCGCAAACGUGGCCCUCAUCAUUAUCGAGUGGCAGUUUGUCAUCACUCGCUUCGUCCAAAUUAACAUGCCGCAAAAAGAGAACAAGACGGGACCCUAGAGGAGGACAUCUGAUCUUGAUGAUGCACCUGAUGCCCUCUAAUUUAGAAGCCCCUUUAUUCACGAGUCAACGAACAGAGCUGAGAAGGCAUUUUUUAAGUCUUGAUCACCAGACUGGAUUCUUGGCCCCAAAGCAGUGGAGGAUCACUGUGAAGAAGGUACAGCAGCGCUGGAAGCAGAUGAAGAAGAAGAAAAGAUGGUGAUGGAGAGAGACAAGGUGAAGAUAGAGAAAGCCGCUGUUCAUCCAGUCCUCCACCGAGGAGAAACACCAUCACUUCCUCUUCAGGAGAAAAGAGAACCUCUUCACAUAGUGUAACUUUUGCCUGCCCUCUGACCCCUCAUGUUACCUCCCUUUAAAUUUAGCAUGUUAGUUUCUGUCAUUUAGUGACGCUUAACUAAAACCUUUUCUUUUUCUUGUCUAUACUUAAUACUACUCUGUACAUACAGUAACACCUUAAUAAGAUAUAUACAGAUAUAUAUAAGAUAAUAUAUAUACAGAUAAUAAUAUAACCUUUUGUUAAUCAACAACAUUUAUUAUAAAGGAAUUCCCAGUGCUCCAUUGUUGUAACAUGACGUGUUCCUACAGUACAUCCACCUACCAGCUUCUCUUCAAUAAAUAACUUAACAAUGCAA
Long non-coding RNA from Dunckerocampus dactyliophorus (ringed pipefish), 862 nucleotides. RefSeq lists it as uncharacterized. The record is from RefSeq and is a predicted model, not a curated record. The transcript has 3 exons. Lineage: Eukaryota; Metazoa; Chordata; Actinopteri; Syngnathiformes; Syngnathidae.